GGAACAGAAAGCUCAGUGGCAGAAUGUCUGCUUUGCAUGCAAAAGGUCUUAGGUUCAAUCCCUGGCAGCUCCA
This is a non-coding RNA of Podarcis lilfordi (Lilford's wall lizard), 73 nucleotides long. The record is from the annotation of a GenBank genome assembly. NCBI's taxonomy places the organism in Eukaryota, Metazoa, Chordata, Lepidosauria, Squamata, Lacertidae.